RNAcentral lists this transfer RNA (76 nucleotides) under Paracoccaceae bacterium. RNAcentral's name for it is "Rhodobacteraceae bacterium tRNA-Trp". It matches the Rfam family "tRNA". From Rfam's summary of the family: Transfer RNA (tRNA) molecules are approximately 80 nucleotides in length. Their secondary structure includes four short double-helical elements and three loops (D, anti-codon, and T loops). The record is from RNAcentral. Lineage: Bacteria; Pseudomonadati; Pseudomonadota; Alphaproteobacteria; Rhodobacterales; Paracoccaceae.
AGGAGUGUAGCUCAGUUGGUAGAGCACCGGUCUCCAAAACCGGUUGUCGGGGGUUCGAAUCCCUCCACUCCUGCCA